This 253-nucleotide ribosomal RNA is filed under the name uncultured bacterium. RNAcentral's name for it is "partial 16S ribosomal RNA". It matches the Rfam family "Bacterial small subunit ribosomal RNA", at positions 524 to 776 of the family's 1533-position model. The record is from RNAcentral.
UACGUAGGAGGCAAGCGUUGUCCGGAGUUACUGGGCGUAAAGCGUGUGUAGGCGGUUGGCUGCGUCCGGUGUGAAAUCUCCCGGCUUACCUGGGAGGGGGCAUCGGAUACGAGCGGACUUGAGGGCAUCAGAGGCCAGUAGAACUCCCGGUGGACCAGUGAAAUGGGUAGAGAUCGGGAAGAAUACCAGUGGUGCAGACGGCCGGCUGGGGUGUACCUGACGCUGAGACACGAAAGCAUGGGGAGCAAACAGG